AGAGUUUGAUCCUGGCUCAGGACGAACGCUGGCGGCGUGCUUAACACAUGCAAGUCGAACGGAAAGGUCUCUUCGGAGACACUCGAGUGGCGAACGGGUGAGUAACACGUGGGUAAUCUGCCCUGCACAUCGGGAUAAGCCUGGGAAACUGGGUCUAAUACCGAAUAGGACCACGGGACGCAUGUCCUUGUGGUGGAAAG
RNAcentral lists this ribosomal RNA (200 nucleotides) under uncultured bacterium. Its description in RNAcentral is "partial 16S ribosomal RNA". It matches the Rfam family "Bacterial small subunit ribosomal RNA", at positions 8 to 207 of the family's 1533-position model. The record is from RNAcentral.